RNAcentral lists this transfer RNA (72 nucleotides) under Loxodonta africana (African savanna elephant). It matches the Rfam family "tRNA". From Rfam's summary of the family: Transfer RNA (tRNA) molecules are approximately 80 nucleotides in length. The record is from Rfam by way of RNAcentral. Lineage: Eukaryota; Metazoa; Chordata; Mammalia; Proboscidea; Elephantidae.
UGCCAAGUGGUGCAGCGGAAGCAUGCUGGGCCCAUAAUCCAGAGGUUGAUGGAUUGAAACCAUCUUCUGCUA